AGCAGUAGCCGCGGGAAAACAGAGGGUGCGAGCGUUAAUCGGAUUUACUGGGCGUAAAGCGUGCGUAGGCGGCUUCUUAAGUCGGAUGUGAAAUCCCUGAGCUUAACUUAGGAAUUGCAUUCGAUACUGGGAAGCUAGAGUAUGGGAGAGGAUGGUAGAAUUCCAGGUGUAGCGGUGAAAUGCGUAGAGAUCUGGAGGAAUACCGAUGGCGAAGGCAGCCAUCUGGCCUAAUACUGACGCUGAGGUACGAAAGCAUGGGGAGCAAACAGGAUUAGAUACCCCAGUAGUCCCUGUCUCUUAUAU
Molecule: ribosomal RNA, 303 nt
Filed under: uncultured bacterium
Lineage: Bacteria
Description: partial 16S ribosomal RNA
Rfam family: Bacterial small subunit ribosomal RNA
Source: RNAcentral